GUUGCCUCCAAAUUGACAACAUAAAAAGUUGCAUUGUGUGGAUAAAUUUGUUCCCAAUGCAAAUUAAGCACUGGGAAAUGAACAUACGCAACACUAAUAAUAAGUGGUAGGAAUAGAAAUUUGCAACCAAAUUAAAGCAUUAACAGUACAAUAUUAUUAAUGCAAUGAAAAGCGUAUGAAAUUUGAAUUUACCAACAAUUGGUAAAAUAUUUUUUGCCUAUAUUUUUUUCAUUGCACUAAAAGGUAUAGAAAUACCAAGGUACUAACUACUGAAGCAUCUAGUGAAGAAAACACAUCACUAAUGGUAAAGAUACAUAACUAUGCUUCACUUAAAAUAAUAAUUUUUUAUUAAUUAAAAUAUCCAAAAAUUUACAUAUUUAAUAUGAUAUUGUAUUGCCAAAUGCUAAAGCAUUUUAAUAAGCUUUGUUAAUUUUUGUUUGCCCCAGUUAAUUAUUACUUCUAAUUAAGUGAUACU
This 475-nucleotide unclassified non-coding RNA is filed under the name Hevea brasiliensis (rubber tree). The record is from RNAcentral. Lineage: Eukaryota; Viridiplantae; Streptophyta; Magnoliopsida; Malpighiales; Euphorbiaceae.